AAAUAAAGAUUCAGAGCUCAAGUUUGAGAUAACCAUUUUUGUUGGUUCAGAACCCGUAACUUAAUCAGGUUGACCUUUAUUGACGCAAAUAUUUUGGGAUAUGCAGGAAGAUAUAAACUACUAGAAUUUUGAAAUUCAAUGAGCCUCGAUAAAAACCCCCGUUGAAACAGGGGAAAAGAGUGUCUCAUUGUUUUUUAUUCAUUUAUGAAAACGGUUCUUAUACAUCAUUUGAAAAUAUUGUUAAAAGAAGAGAAUGGUUUUACUUAUUCUUCCACCGAUAAAGUGAUGCGCCGUGAUUAGCUAUAGUAGAACUUUAGGUUGGCUACGUUCCAUGUCCUUGGGAGGAUUUUUCCUUCCAUGGUCUCUAGGCGAUAUGCUCCUCCUUCG
Molecule: long non-coding RNA, 387 nt
Filed under: Trifolium pratense (red clover)
Lineage: Eukaryota; Viridiplantae; Streptophyta; Magnoliopsida; Fabales; Fabaceae
Description: long non-coding RNA (TPRA_LNC008806)
Source: RNAcentral